Molecule: long non-coding RNA, 629 nt
Filed under: Felis catus (domestic cat)
Lineage: Eukaryota; Metazoa; Chordata; Mammalia; Carnivora; Felidae
Description: lncRNA (ENSFCAG00000051840.1)
Source: RNAcentral
UGUGCAUGUGUCUCUAUUUCUAUUUAAAUAUACAGAUUUCUCUCACAAAUACUGCUUCCUAUAGUUUUCAUAAAGUAAUGUUAAGUAGUUCUCUACUGUUUUUGAUAAUCUGAUAUUAAUUUCUGUUUUUAACCCAAGUUGCAAGUCUGAAUGGCUAUAGGAGCCAGCCGGGCAAUGAAAGUGAGUGAAAUGGCCAAGGUGGAGGACCAUAAGGCAGAGGGGGGACUGGAGGUCAGACGCCCAGUAGAAAGGUAGCAGCUCCUUCUCUCCUUCUCAAGCCCUGGGAAAUUACUAGGUCCUCUGGAGCUGAAAAUUGAAAAUUGAGUAGCUGGUUAAAGAAGCAAAGUGGUGUCAGACCUCACAAGCAAGGUUUUUGGAUGCAUCACAACAUUUACAAGGAGAAGGAUGAACAUGUGGCUUACCUUUGUUACUCCAUAGUAAAACAGUGCCCUGCAUAAUGGUUUGCUUGUUUUACAAAAGAUUUAAAUGUAGUUGUGUUGGUACAAAAUCCACAUCAUGUUGCCUAUCCAUGAACAACAGAAUGUCCUUGACAAGUAUUUGCAUUUUCAGAUGAAAAACAAAAGCCUUUGUUGAGAUAAACUGGAAAUAAAUGUGGAAUACAUUGUACA